Molecule: long non-coding RNA, 495 nt
Filed under: Homo sapiens (human)
Lineage: Eukaryota; Metazoa; Chordata; Mammalia; Primates; Hominidae
Description: non-protein coding LINC01708:22
Source: RNAcentral
ACUUGAUGACCCUGGAUGCAAAGAGUUAACAGAGAUAUGGCAUGAACAUGUAUUAGAAAAAUGAUUCACACACAAUAGAAAAAAUAAGUAAGACCAGGAUUGGGUGGCUUUGGAGAAUGUAAUUUCAGCUUGAAUAUGAAGAUGCUUGUAGAACAGUGUUCCUUCCUCUGAACAUGGCUACAGAAGAACAAAUCAGUUAGUCUGAAGAUGAAAACAAGAAGCUGAUGGUAGACACAUUCUGAACUGGCUAACACAACACUCUGAAACUGGAGGAUAUCAACUGAUAAGAUAUGAAGUUCUCCCUUAGUUUCAAAUACACUGGGUUCAUAAAUUAUUGACAUAAACAAUAGAUGUCCCAUCAAGCUACCAUGAAGAUAGCUAGGUCUGCACAACUCCUCAAGUGUCGACCCCUCCAAGCACAUCCUCCACCUGGAACUGUGAACUGAAUGGAUAAAUGUGUUGGUCAGAAAGGUCUUUACAUCUUUGAAUUGUAAC